This 458-nucleotide unclassified non-coding RNA is filed under the name rhizosphere metagenome. RNAcentral's name for it is "partial ribosomal RNA internal transcribed spacer region". The record is from RNAcentral.
GUAGGUGCAGUCCAACGUUCGCCUGUGGGAACCGAGCAGGAUCGACUCUAAAUCAACUGCUCCAGUCCGCCCGUGGUUAGGGUUGGCGACGCCAUCAGUCUGCGCUGGGAGGGUCCUUUCGGGGUCGACCAGCAGCUCCUCUAGGGAGUCCACAGAUCAAACGACGGCGGCCACGGGAUCGUGGUUUAGAUAUGAUCGGCCCCAGCCAUCAUUGGCUGGCGAUAUGAUAGCGGAACCUGCGGAAGGAUCAUUAAUGAGAGGGGUUCUCGGACUCCGGGGGCUUCGGCCCCCAACUCUUCACCCCAUGUUUACGUCCCUUUGUUGCCUUGGCGGGUCUCGGGGUUCGCCUCGUACCGGCUGUUCCGCGCCCGUCUGUGGCCCAUCAAACCUUGUCCAUUAGUGUCGUCCGAGUUAAAUUAUAAUAGUAAAAACUUUCAACAACGGAUCUCUUGGUUCUG